AACGAACGCUGGCGGCAUGCCUAACACAUGCAAGUCGAACGAGACCUUCGGGUCUAGUGGCGCACGGGUGCGUAACGCGUGGGAACCUGCCCUUAGGUUCGGAAUAACUCCCCGAAAGGGGUGCUAAUACCGGAUAAUGUCUUCGGACCAAAGAUUUAUCGCCUUUGGAUGGGCCCGCGUUGGAUUAGCUAGUUGGUAGGGUAAAAGCCUACCAAGGCGACGAUCCAUAGCUGGUCUGAGAGGAUGAUCAGCCACACUGGGACUGAGACACGGCCCAGACUCCUACGGGAGGCAGCAGUGGGGAAUAUUGGACAAUGGGCGAAAGCCAGAUCCAGCAAUGCCGCGUGAGUGAUGAAGGCCUUAGGGUUGUAAAGCUCUUUUACCCGGGAUGAUAAUGGCAGUACCGGGAGAAUAAGCUCCGGCUAACUCCGUG
RNAcentral lists this ribosomal RNA (433 nucleotides) under uncultured bacterium. RNAcentral's name for it is "partial 16S ribosomal RNA". It matches the Rfam family "Bacterial small subunit ribosomal RNA", at positions 29 to 507 of the family's 1533-position model. The record is from RNAcentral.